This 394-nucleotide ribosomal RNA is filed under the name uncultured bacterium. RNAcentral describes it as "partial 16S ribosomal RNA". It matches the Rfam family "Bacterial small subunit ribosomal RNA", at positions 523 to 918 of the family's 1533-position model. The record is from RNAcentral.
AUACGGAAGGUCCGGGCGUUAUCCGGAUUUAUUGGGUUUAAAGGGUGCGUAGGCGGAUGAUUAAGCGUGAGGUGAAAUGCCACUGCUCAACAGUGGAACUGCCUCGCGAACUGGUUGUCUUGAAUGCUCCUGCCGUGGGAGGAAUGUGUGGUGUAGCGGUGAAAUGCAUAGAGAUCACACAGAACACCGAUUGCGAAGGCAUCUCACGAAGGGGUGAUUGACGCUGAGGCACGAAAGCGUGGGGAUCAAACAGGAUUAGAUACCCUGGUAGUCCACGCAGUAAACGAUGAUAACUAACCGCUGGGUCGUAGUGAUUCAGUGGCCAAGCGAAAGCGAUAAGUUAUCCACCUGGGGAGUACGACCGCAAGGUUGAAACUCAAAUGAAUUGACGGGG